CUCCUCUCUUUCUCGCAGCAUGCCUCCUAUUCGUCCUCUGCACCAAGCAGCGCUGUGUCGACUACGUCUGGAUAGCACCUCAUCUCCAUCCUCGCCCCCAAGCAGUGUCACCUCACCUCUACUUCCCCGCCUGAGCAGUGACACCUGCGGUCUCGGCUUCACCGCCUCCUGUACUUCUCAACCAACGGUGUUUGUUUGUGUUUCUUGAAGUCUGAUUUACUCAGCAAGGAAGGGAUGUGCUACUGUAUAAUGUUUAUCGGGAGCAUGGUAGCCUAGUGGCAAAAGCUUCUGUGUAUGCAGAUGGAAGCAGAUAAGUGUCAGGCUCUUCCUACAGGAUGUCUAUUGGUUCAGUUCUAGUCAUAAACAUAGGUUUCCCAAGGGUACACA
Molecule: non-coding RNA, 387 nt
Organism: Triticum urartu
Lineage: Eukaryota; Viridiplantae; Streptophyta; Magnoliopsida; Poales; Poaceae
Source: RefSeq, a predicted model, not a curated record